GUCUACACAGGACAAAAAAAAAGGCAAUUGCAAGGGAGUUGGACCUACGGUAGCACAGCGGGUUAAGUGCAGGUGGUGCAAAGCGCAAGGACCAGCGUAAGGAUCCUGGUUCGAACCUCCAGCUCCCCACCUGCAGGGGAGUCGCUUCACAGGCGGUGAAGCAGGUCUGCAGGUGUCUGUCUUUCUCUCCCCCUCUGUCUUCCCCUUUUCUCUCUAUUUCUCUCUGUCCUAUCCAAUAACAACGACAUCAAGAACAACAACAAUAACUACAACAAUGAAACAACAAGGCUAACAAAAGGGAAUAAAAAAAUAAAAUAAAAUAAAGAAAAAGAAAAGGCAUUUGCUCUGCAUUUAAUACCUUCUCAGGAGGAAACUCCAUGGAAAUAAGGCACACUUGUAUCCUUAUCAUUACUAGGCUGUUUUUCCUUCCCCCCCAUUUUACUUUAUAGGACUGAGAGUGAUUGAAAGGGGAAGGGGAGAUAGGGAGAGUGAAGCCCACCCCACACACAGAUGGGGAGCAGGGGCUCAAAUGCUGGUCCUUGUGCAUAGAAAUGUGUGCACUCAAUUGGGUGUGCCACUACCAGGGCCCCAGAUGUGCAUUUUUUAAAAAAGUGAAUGUGUGCUAACAAAAAUAUUUGAGUCAUAGUAUUUAGUGCAAUGAACCUUGAUGCUAUACUGAGAACAGAUACAGGGACAUGAUACUAGGUGAAUAGUCAGCAUGUUGUGAAUACCACUCUUGUCCACUUCAUUCCGAUGGAGCAAGAAGGCUCCACUGAGGCCUCGUAGGACUAAAGAAAACACUAUUUGGCCAACA
Erinaceus europaeus (western European hedgehog) is the source of this 814-nucleotide long non-coding RNA. RefSeq lists it as uncharacterized. Lineage: Eukaryota; Metazoa; Chordata; Mammalia; Eulipotyphla; Erinaceidae. The transcript has 2 exons. The record is from RefSeq and is a predicted model, not a curated record.